Molecule: long non-coding RNA, 945 nt
Organism: Zootermopsis nevadensis
Lineage: Eukaryota; Metazoa; Arthropoda; Insecta; Blattodea; Termopsidae
Source: RefSeq, a predicted model, not a curated record
UUAAGGGGGGUUCACACGGAGUCGUGGACCAGGCGAGAACACUACUCUAUUUGAGUGAGUCACACGACCUGCUUAAUAACGCCCGUCUCCAGUUCCCACUUGACUUCGCAAAUGCUUCUUCUCGCCUUCAGAGUCACGGUGUUUGAAAAUGGCACGCAACUGACUUGGUCGUGAUCACUCCAACAUGCCGGAGUGGUUACCACCGCUGUCUUCAAGGUCGUAUACUACCAACUGUGCAACGACCACUAGUUCCCACUCGGUAGUGAGCACGACCUCCGGUCCUCUUGGUCGUGUUCUCGCCCGGUCCACGACUCCGUGUGAACCCCCCUUUACGCGAGAUCCGUGGUAGACGAAGUGGCACUGCGAUACGUUUCUUCCCCGAGUGCUUCGUUUUCACCGUUAUCAUUUCGUCUGUCUCUAUAAUCGUCUAUGACCGUCCAAUGAGAUGUGCAAUAGCCUGAACAAGCAGCACAUUAUCAUGCCCUCUGUCCUAAGUUGGAGCUUCAUCUCUGACCCGGUACUGAUCUCAGAGUAAAGGAAGAGUAUCAGGUGAGCCAACUUCAAAAGCACGAACCACAAAACAAAUUCAAACCAGAUUUGUUCAUAUGCUUGUUGACACUGUUUCAUGUGGCGAAGUUAUUUGAUCGUCUAUGCUGUUUAUGAUAAAAACAACAGGGUAAUUACGGAAUAAAUGGCUGAGAAACCCGAACAUACAGAAAACCUCUUCGCGCUGUCGUGUGCACCAAAAUAAGCUAUAACGUGUUUAUCCAUCUUGUCAUGCUGCCAUGAAUGAUGGGUUUCCACUGCUUCUCCCAAAACACGAUAACUACGUCUACCUCCUCCUGAGUGCCAUACAAAUCACGCUGUUCUCUCAACUUGGCAGAGAGCACAUGGGCUUCGAAGACUGCUUGAAGAACGAUAAUCCAUGCGAACACACUGGAUUCU